This 112-nucleotide ribosomal RNA is filed under the name uncultured Flavobacteriaceae bacterium. RNAcentral's name for it is "partial 16S ribosomal RNA". The record is from RNAcentral. Lineage: Bacteria; Pseudomonadati; Bacteroidota; Flavobacteriia; Flavobacteriales; Flavobacteriaceae.
GCUGACGAGUGGCGAACGGGUGCGUAUCGCGUAUGCAACCUACCUUUAGCUGAGGAAUAGCCCAGAGAAAUUUGGAUUAAUACCUCAUAACACUAUUAAUUCGCAUGUUUUA